GAAUAGCUUAGUCGGUAGACAACAUGAGACUCUUAAUCUCAGAACUGUGGGUUCGAGCCCCACACUGAGCAACA
Podarcis lilfordi (Lilford's wall lizard) is the source of this 74-nucleotide non-coding RNA. The record is from the annotation of a GenBank genome assembly. Lineage: Eukaryota; Metazoa; Chordata; Lepidosauria; Squamata; Lacertidae.